AGUGAACGCUGGCGGUAGGCCUAACACAUGCAAGUCGAACGGCAGCACAGUAAGAGCUUGCUCUUACGGGUGGCGAGUGGCGGACGGGUGAGGAAUACAUCGGAAUCUACUUUUUCGUGGGGGAUAACGUAGGGAAACUUACGCUAAUACCGCAUACGACCUACGGGUGAAAGCAGGGGAUCUUCGGACCUUGCGCGAUUGAAUGAGCCGAUGUCGGAUUAGCUAGUUGGGGGGGUAAAGGCCAACCAAGGCGACGAUCCGUAGCUGGUCUGAGAGGAUGGUCGGCCACACUGGAACUGAGACACGGUCCAGGCUCCUACGGGAGGCAGCAGUGGGGAAUAUUGGACAAUGGGCGCAAGCCUGAUCCAGCCAUACCGCGUGGGUGAAGAAGGCCUUCGGGUUGUAAAGCCCUUUUGUUGGGAAAGAAAAGCAGCAGGUUAAUACCCCGCUGUUCUGACGGUACCCAAAGAAUAAGCACCGGCUAACUUCGUG
RNAcentral lists this ribosomal RNA (492 nucleotides) under uncultured bacterium. RNAcentral's name for it is "partial 16S ribosomal RNA". It matches the Rfam family "Bacterial small subunit ribosomal RNA", at positions 29 to 507 of the family's 1533-position model. The record is from RNAcentral.